This 356-nucleotide long non-coding RNA is filed under the name Setaria viridis. Its description in RNAcentral is "long non-coding RNA (SVIR_LNC007673)". The record is from RNAcentral. Lineage: Eukaryota; Viridiplantae; Streptophyta; Magnoliopsida; Poales; Poaceae.
GGGACCCACGAGAUCUGCGCCCGAGGCGGAUACUUGUCUAGCGGGCUCGGGUCAGCCCAACCCCCUACGCUUGGGGUCGGGCGAGGUGGAGUCCUGCGGCGGGGGGUCGGACGCUCCCGUCUCCGGACCUGCAGUCGGGCGAGGCGGAGCUUGGUCUUCCGGAGGUUGGCGAUGCCUGACUCCGGGAUACGGGGUCGGGCGAGGCGGAGCGUGAUUCUCGGCCCCCGUGUUGGGCCGGCGCCAAUCUUAUUACCUUAGGUGGGCCUGGGCCUUUACGUUUUGUUGUUUCCAUGGGCCUGGGGAGAUCGUUAAUAUUUCCGCCCAACACAAACCUUAUAAGAAAGUUUUAGUGCUAC